UCUUGGUCAUUUAGAGGAAGUAAAAGUCGUAACAAGGUCUCCGUUGGUGAACCAGCGGAGGGAUCAUUACAAGAAGCCGAAAGGCUACUUCAAACCAUUGCGAACUCGUCCAAGUUGCUUCGGCGGCGCGGCACCCCCUAACGGGGGCGCCGCAGCCCUGCCUCUCCGGAGGUUCGGGGCGCCCGCCGGAGGUACGAAACUCUGUAUUAUAGUGGCAUCUCUGAGUAUAAAGCAAAUAAGUUAAAACUUUCAACAACGGAUCUCUUGGCUCUGGCAUCGAUGAAGAACGCAGCGAAAUGCGAUAAGUAAUGUGAAUUGCAGAAUUCAGUGAAUCAUCGAAUCUUUGAACGCACAUUGCGCCCGGUAGUACUCUACCGGGCAUGCCUGUUCGAGCGUCAUUUCAACCCUCAAGCUCUGCUUGGUGUUGGGGCCCUACGGCUGCCGUAGGCCCUGAAAGGAAGUGGCGGGCUCGCUACAACUCCGAGCGUAGUAAUUCAUUAUCUCGCUAGGGAGGUUGCGGCGUGCUCCUGCCGUUAAAGACCCAUCUUUAACCAAGGUGACCUCGGAUCAGGU
RNAcentral lists this ribosomal RNA (573 nucleotides) under Coniochaeta hoffmannii. RNAcentral describes it as "eukaryotic LSU rRNA". The stretch from base 245 to 398 matches the Rfam family "5.8S ribosomal RNA". Lineage: Eukaryota; Fungi; Ascomycota; Sordariomycetes; Coniochaetales; Coniochaetaceae. The record is from RNAcentral.